CGAUCUGGGAGACGGGAGGUGAUGCCUGAGGCCAAGGAGCCCCUCCAGAAGGGCACUUAUGGGUCUUCCAGCUUCACUGACUUCCCCUCCAACGUCCUCUUCUGUCCCCCACAUCCGGUGAGUGGCCCCCAGCCCGUCCACCCCGCUUCGUCUUGCUUUGCCAGCAAACCGUCCUGUGGGCCUGCUGGAAAGGCCCCGGAAGGAGGAGCAGCUCUGGGAGAGAAUUGAAGGACAAGGAGAGACAGACUCUGCCGUGGCCACGGCUGGCAAGGGGCUGCAGAGACCCAGCAAGACCACAGAAAGGUGGAGCACCUCGGCACUGGGGCCCGGCUGCCUGGGCUGGGGACCAGCUCCACCAUGUCAUAGCUGUGGGACCUUGAUCCCUGUGCCUCGGUUUCCCUAUCUGUAAAAUGGGAGCCAUCCAGUUCCUGCCUUGUAGGUGGUUUUGCUGAGGGUGCGCGAGUACACGUCCAGGGCACAGAACCGGGCUGAGUGCGGGCUGCAUGCUGCACGUCCGGGUGGGAGAGCACAAAGGAUCCACAAGAGCAGAGCAAAGACCCUCCUUGGCCGGUGGCGGUCAGGGUCGGAGUGUGGAAGCUGCGCACAUUUCUCCUGGUGUCGGAGAUGAGGGGCACCUGCACCGGCUGAGAGCUGAGCUUUUAUACAUUCCUUGAGAUGAGCCCUGUGGUGCCUGGUGCUCAGCAUUUGUGGACGGGCAAGCAGCUGUCCAGGUCUGCAACCCCCUCCUCUGCCUGGUGAUGAGACCACGGCUCGGGGGACGCGCGGGGACAGACGGGAGCCUGCAACUCUGAGUCAGAAGCCGGCGACCACUCCCCUCCCCGGAUGGACGACGCACGACUUGAGGGACCCCCCUUCUGCCACGGAGCCUCAGCGGGGACGUCACUCAGGCCUGCUCCCCCCGAGCAGGAGGCUCUGCUGCGGGGGUCCAGGGGAGGCAGGGCCGGGGGUGGGGCUUCUCUGGCUUUGGACCCAGUUGGUGUCAGCGGAGGGCCCGGGAGCUCCUGAGGGCAGGACCCCAGGCCGUGGGGAGUGAGGCUGGGGGGCUUCGGGGUGGAGAUGGCUCUGAGCAGACUCCUAGGAGGCCGAGCAGAGGCAGCUCGGAGCAGAGGCUCAGAGGCAGGGACGGUGUGGGAGGAACGGACCCCGGGGAGAGAGUUUCUGGGAGCUCGUGGGAGUCAGUGAACCCCAGGCCUCAUCAUUUGGACUUUGACACAGCGGCAGUAGGGACACAUGGAAGGUGUCGGAGCAGCCGAGGCCAGGCUGCAUCCGGAGGGGGAUCUGGCCAUGCACUGGGGGAGUGGGUGGGAGGAGGCCAGGAGCUGGUCCAGGCCGGAGGGG
This is a long non-coding RNA of Choloepus didactylus (southern two-toed sloth), 1359 nucleotides long. RefSeq lists it as uncharacterized. The record is from RefSeq and is a predicted model, not a curated record. Lineage: Eukaryota; Metazoa; Chordata; Mammalia; Pilosa; Megalonychidae. The transcript is spliced from 4 exons.